UACGGGGGGGGCAAGCGUUGUUCGGAAUUACUGGGCGUAAAGGGCUCGUAGGUUGCCAACUAAGUCAGACGUGAAAUCCCUCGGCUUAACCGGGGAACUGCGUCUGAUACUGGAUGGCUUGAGUUCGGGAGAGGGAUGCGGAAUUCCAGGUGUAGUGGUGAAAUGCGUAGAGAUCGGGAGGAACACCUGUGGCGAAGGCGGCCGACUGGGCCGACCCUGACGCUGAGGCGCGAGAGCGUGGGGAGCGAACCGG
This 253-nucleotide ribosomal RNA is filed under the name uncultured bacterium. Its description in RNAcentral is "partial 16S ribosomal RNA". It matches the Rfam family "Bacterial small subunit ribosomal RNA", at positions 524 to 776 of the family's 1533-position model. The record is from RNAcentral.